RNAcentral lists this long non-coding RNA (235 nucleotides) under Sorghum bicolor (sorghum). RNAcentral's name for it is "long non-coding RNA (SBIC_LNC015729)". Lineage: Eukaryota; Viridiplantae; Streptophyta; Magnoliopsida; Poales; Poaceae. The record is from RNAcentral.
UGCCGAUUUUGGAAACAUUUCAAACUACCAUUCUAUUGACAAACCCCAAAACGGCCAGUUUAGCAUUUAUUUGCCAAGUGAAUACCAAUUGAGAGAGCUUAUCUCAGUCAUGAGUAGCGAAUGGUUGGAGGAGUCAGAGCUUUCCUCUGAUGUGAUCCGUUUGGACACACCCUCUAUAACUAUACGCUGUGCUUAUAAUUCUGAUCGAUUUAAUGCUCUUUAUAAUCCUGUUGUG